UGGGGAAUAUUGCACAAUGGGCGCAAGCCUGAUGCAGCCAUGCCGCGUGUAUGAAGAAGGCCUUCGGGUUGUAAAGUACUUUCAGUCGGGAGGAAGGUGGUAAGGUUAAUAACCUUAUCAAUUGACGUUACCGACAGAAGAAGCACCGGCUAACUCCGUGCCAGCAGCCGCGGUAAUACGGAGGGUGCAAGCGUUAAUCGGAAUUACUGGGCGUAAAGCGCACGCAGGCGGUUGAUUGAGUCAGAUGUGAAAUCCCCGGGCUUAACCCGGGAAUUGCAUCUGAUACUGGUCAGCUAGAGUAUUGUAGAGGGGGGUAGAAUGACAUGUGUAGCGGUGAAAUGCGUAGAGAAGUGGAGGAAUACAGGUGGCGAAGGCGGCCCCCUGGACAAAGACUGACGAUCAGGUGCGAAAGCGUGGGGAGCAAACAGG
This 429-nucleotide ribosomal RNA is filed under the name Chloroflexota bacterium. RNAcentral's name for it is "Chloroflexi bacterium partial 16S ribosomal RNA". It matches the Rfam family "Bacterial small subunit ribosomal RNA", at positions 355 to 776 of the family's 1533-position model. Lineage: Bacteria; Bacillati; Chloroflexota. The record is from RNAcentral.